AGUCGAGGGGUAUAGGCUUUCGGGCCUAGAGACCGGCGCACGGGUGCGUAACGCGUAUGCAAUCUACCUUUCACAGAGGGAUAGCCCAGAGAAAUUUGGAUUAAUACCUCAUGGUAUAUAGGAGUGGCAUCACUUUUAUAUUAAAGUCACAACGGUGAAAGAUGAGCAUGCGUCCCAUUAGCUAGUUGGUAAGGUAACGGCUUACCAAGGCGACGAUGGGUAGGGGUCCUGAGAGGGAGAUCCCCCACACUGGUACUGAGACACGGACCAGACUCCUACGGGAGGCAGCAGUGAGGAAUAUUGGUCAAUGGGCGCAAGCCUGAACCAGCCAUGCCGCGUGCAGGAUGAAGCAUCUAUGGUGUGUAAACUGCUUUUGUACGGGAAGAAACAGAGGUUCGUGAACCUCCUUGACGGUACCGUAAGAAUAAGGAUCGGCUAACUCCGUGCCAGCAGCCGCGGUAAUACGGAGGAUCCAAGCGUUAUCCGGAAUCAUUGGGUUUAAAGGGUCCGUAGGCGGUUUAGUAAGUCAGUGGUGAAAGCCCAUCGCUCAACGGUGGAACGGCCAUUGAUACUGCUAGACUUGAAUUAUUAGGAAGUAACUAGAAUAUGUAGUGUAGCGGUGAAAUGCUUAGAUAUUACAUGGAAUACCAAUUGCGAAGGCAGGUUACUACUAAUGGAUUGACGCUGAUGGACGAAAGCGUGGGUAGCGAACAGGAUUAGAUACCCUGGUAGUCCACGCCGUAAACGAUGGAUACUAGCUGUUCGGAGCAAUCUGAGUGGCUAAGCGAAAGUGAUAAGUAUCCCACCUGGGGAGUACGGGCGCAAGCCCUGAAC
RNAcentral lists this ribosomal RNA (834 nucleotides) under uncultured Bacteroidota bacterium. RNAcentral describes it as "bacterial SSU rRNA". It matches the Rfam family "Bacterial small subunit ribosomal RNA", at positions 60 to 900 of the family's 1533-position model. The record is from RNAcentral. Lineage: Bacteria; Pseudomonadati; Bacteroidota.